This 514-nucleotide long non-coding RNA is filed under the name Homo sapiens (human). RNAcentral's name for it is "non-protein coding lnc-DTWD2-1:7". Lineage: Eukaryota; Metazoa; Chordata; Mammalia; Primates; Hominidae. The record is from RNAcentral.
AGAACGCCGUGCGUUUGAGCUUGAACCUGAUAAGCCUGGCAGAAGCCUGAUGAACCCAGAAUGAGUGAGAUGUGAGACAGAGUCUUGUUCUGUCGUGCAUGCUGGCGUACAGUGCCACAAUCACAGCUCACCGCAGCUUCCAACUUCUGGACUCACAUGAUCCUUCUGCCUCAGACUUCCAAGUACUUGGGACUACAGUCACGAAUCACCACAGCCAGCUUGGAGUGACUUUCUAAGGGAUAUUGAAGCCAUCCAUUGCUUUGUCUUCCAAGUUCAUCAGUGCCUGCACAACAUGGUAACAACAAAGUCAAAGACAUUCCAGACACUCUUCCGGAAAAAGGAAAAGCUAGGAUAGCCACAUAAGAAGGAUCUCCAGGAUGAAAAUAAACAAGAUAAACCAAGUUGCCACCUCCAAGCUCAGCUUCAAUAGCCACAGUUAGGUAUUUGUGGAUUCCAGCAAUUCUAUUUCAACCAUCAAUACGAUCAUAUUCAAAAAGAUGAGGAAGAUGACGAA